UACAUCACAGAUGAGCAUCGAG
Molecule: non-coding RNA, 22 nt
Filed under: Arabidopsis thaliana (thale cress)
Lineage: Eukaryota; Viridiplantae; Streptophyta; Magnoliopsida; Brassicales; Brassicaceae
Source: RNAcentral